UAGGAGCGAGGCUUGCCCGCGAAGGUGGCGGCACAUUCAGCAUUCAUGUUGACUGACACACCGUCUUCGCGGGCAAGCCUCGCUCCUA
Molecule: unclassified non-coding RNA, 88 nt
Filed under: Pseudomonas prosekii
Lineage: Bacteria; Pseudomonadati; Pseudomonadota; Gammaproteobacteria; Pseudomonadales; Pseudomonadaceae
Source: RNAcentral